AUUUGCUUUGUGCCCCAGUUGCUUCCAAUAAAUACAAUGGGACCACUACUGGUUUUAUUGAUUUCUCCACUGUAAAAUGAGAUUGUGGUAAAGGAGUAACUUCAAGCAUACUUAGACCCUUAACCUUCUUCUUCAAUGAUUUAGUUUUGUAAAUUAGCUUGCCGCAUUAUGAGUGGCUCUGAGACUUUCGUAGUACUGCUUUGAUUGUUCUUCUCUGCCGCAUUAUGAGUGACUCUGAGACUUUCGUAGUACUGCUUUGAUUGUUCUUCUCUCCAUGCCUCCUUCCCUCAUCCCUGCCCAUCUUUGAUGUCAUGUGUAAUCCUAUUACUCCCUGUUUCUCCCCUUCCCAGGCCCUCCUUUAAGACCCCAUUUUCCUUCUCAUGGUCCUCUUUCUAUAAAAUUGGUGGUUUAUAAAUGUGAUGAUUGUUCAGGGUUCUUGUAGACUUGGACAUCUAUUUAAAAUACAACCACUUUAGCAUCAUUUGAUGCUACGUGAAAACCAAGAAUAUAACACGAUUUCAAGUACUCCACAUACACAAAGUCAAAGGGAUGGGAAAUGAUGAAAGGAAAAGCAGUAGUCAUAUAGUUAAUUUGGGUCUCGAUGAGGAGACAAUGGGUCUCUAGUCUCACCAUCUCUGUGACGUUGCUUUCACAUCCCGAUAGGGACAUAUAGAACUCUCCAGCAUCACGCCUGCCUGCAUUCUGCCAUAGGAACAUCCUUCCAUGAUAAAGAUCUCUAGAGAAAAAAUUGCCCUCAGCUUUUGGUUCUCAUACAUCUUAUGUCCUAAGGGGAUAUGUACGAGCAGAUGCGAUGCCUUAAUCGUCCUGUGGAGCCUUCCUCAGAUCUGAGUUUAGCAUCACCUCAGUGUCUAUGUGAAGGGGUGAGUCUCUCUGAAGUAGUGAAUCUUAGGCGUGUUUGGGUCUAACAUGGAGUCAAAGCAUGUGUGAUGUAGAGCUGAACCUGGUGGGAGCAGUCGAGCCCGUGUCUGGUGGUGGGAGUGGUGGUGGGGAGCUUGCUUGCUUGCAUUUCGGAGGAAUGUGGCUUCGGGUUCUUACCUGCGCGGUUCCGGCACAUGGGGAGUGGCGUGCGCGCUGCCAGGUGCGCUCCGUGGCGCUGCCGGGGCGGGCGGAGCGGCGAGAGACCAGCAGGAGCGCCGCCCGGGGCGGUUUGGUUGCGACACCCGCCCAGCUGGGAAUUUCCGCUCCGUGGUCCCGGCGCGCUCCUCGUGAUUCCCCUGACCGCUGCAGGUUUUUAUGUUAGAGAUGCUUGACAUUAACUCUUCAAUUAAGUCACCCCAAAAUCUGAAAACUUCCAGCAUCUAAAUAAUUUCUGGUCCCAUGGGUUUCAGGUAAGGGCUACUCAGUCUGUUGUUGUUGUGUGGUCUUUGACUGUAACAAAAUCACUAGUGACAAAUGGGCAGAUACUAGACAUGGUGUUCACCAUGUGGUUGCAGAACUUCUUUGAGUGGCUGUUGUGAGCAAUGCUGUGAAGGAAUGGGGGACAGGGAGCCCCAUCACCAUUAUUACUGCCAAAAGGAUUUUAUAGAAUUUAUUUUAUGAGCACAGAAAGUUAAAUUAUCAAGAACAUCAGUUACAAGCCAGGCGUCAUUAACACACACCUAUAACCCCAGCAUUUGGGAGGUGGGGGCAGAGGGAUCAGGACUUCAAGGUCAGUCUUGGCUAAAUAGUGAACUUGAGGUCAGCCAACUGCAUAAGACCUUGUCUGAUAAAAACAAAAGUAGAGCAACUAUAAAACUGUUAAGUAGGAAACCAAUGUAUGGAUUUCUUGUGUUGAUGAGUAAAUUAAAAAGGAAUUAGCAUUUACCAGAGACAGCUAUAUGCCAGACAUGAUUAUAUCUGGGAUGCAUUCUGUUACUUGGUUCAGUUUAUUCUGUGAUUUACCCUUCUUUAAGAUGGAAAUGAACAGUAUUUGAGGGCUAGAGUCUCACUUAUUUUCUUCACAUGAAAGUCAUUUGCCCUUUUUUUCAGUGCUAUAACUGAAGUUCAGAAAGAUGGGAUGCUUGAACCAUGGACAGGCACUCAGACAAACAGUUGGCUUUUCUUGAGUGUAAAGUGCAGUGCAGCUUGUUCAAAAGUCUGUGUUCUUCUGUUUUCUUUAGUUAUUUUGAUGCAGGGUCUUUAACUUGUUUUCUAGGCUGGCCUGGACCUUUCAGUCCUCCUGACUUGGGUUCUCAAGUGCUGUGACUCAGACAUGCCUUAUCACACCAGGUGUUUGUUCUUAUGUCUACCCCGCACUGGCUCCUGCUGCCAGAGUAACACUAAGCAGGUCUGAUCUGAAGGACAUUGGUACACUCCUGGGAAAUUGUGUUGUCAUAAUAAAUUACAAGUAAAAGACA
Molecule: long non-coding RNA, 2357 nt
Organism: Mus spicilegus (steppe mouse)
Lineage: Eukaryota; Metazoa; Chordata; Mammalia; Rodentia; Muridae
Source: Ensembl